GAGGGCGCCAUAAGACCUGCUAACUCUUUAAUCUGGGGCUAACUCCCAGCACCCUC
This 56-nucleotide transfer RNA is filed under the name Hypsiglena chlorophaea deserticola (Great Basin nightsnake). Its description in RNAcentral is "tRNA-Ser". The record is from RNAcentral. Lineage: Eukaryota; Metazoa; Chordata; Lepidosauria; Squamata; Dipsadidae.